GAUGAACGCUGGCGGCGUGCCUAAUACAUGCAAGUCGAGCGAACAGACGAGGAGCUUGCUCCUUUGACGUUAGCGGCGGACGGGUGAGUAACACGUGGGUAACCUACCUAUAAGACUGGGAUAACUUCGGGAAACCGGAGCUAAUACCGGAUAAUAUUUCGAACCGCAUGGUUCGAUAGUGAAAGAUGGCUUUGCUAUCACUUAUAGAUGGACCUGCGCCGUAUUAGCUAGUUGGUAAGGUAACGGCUUACCAAGGCAACGAUACGUAGCCGACCUGAGAGGGUGAUCGGCCACACUGGAACUGAGACACGGUCCAGACUCCUACGGGAGGCAGCAGUAGGGAAUCUUCCGCAAUGGGCGAAAGCCUGACGGAGCAACGCCGUGUGAGUGAUGAAGGCCUUCGGAUCGUAAAACUCUGUUAUUAGGGAAGAACAAACGUGUAAGUAACUGUGCACGUCUUGACGGUACCUAAUCAGAAAGCCACGGCUAACUACGUG
This 497-nucleotide ribosomal RNA is filed under the name uncultured bacterium. Its description in RNAcentral is "partial 16S ribosomal RNA". It matches the Rfam family "Bacterial small subunit ribosomal RNA", at positions 28 to 507 of the family's 1533-position model. The record is from RNAcentral.